CCCUUAUCUUUAGUUACUAACAGGUCAUGCUGAGGACUCUAGAGAGACUGCCGUCGUAAGAUGUGAGGAAGGUGGGGAUGACGUCAAAUCAGCACGGCCCUUACGUCCGGGGCUACACACGUGUUACAAUGGGGGGUACAGAAGGCAGCUAGCGGGUGACCGUAUGCUAAUCCCAAAAUCCUCUCUCAGUUCGGAUCGAAGUCUGCAACCCGACUUCGUGAAGCUGGAUUCGCUAGUAAUCGCGCAUCAGCCACGGCGCGGUGAAUACGUUCCCGGGCCUUGUACACACCGCCCGUCAAGCCAUGGGAGCCGGGGGUACCUGAAGUACGUAACCGCAAGGAUCGUCCUAGGGUAAAACUGGUGACUGGGGCUAAGUCGUAACAAGGUAGCCGUACCGGAAGGUGCGGCUGGAACACCUCCUUUCUGGAGC
RNAcentral lists this ribosomal RNA (430 nucleotides) under Bifidobacterium pseudocatenulatum. Its description in RNAcentral is "bacterial SSU rRNA". It matches the Rfam family "Bacterial small subunit ribosomal RNA", at positions 1102 to 1533 of the family's 1533-position model. Lineage: Bacteria; Bacillati; Actinomycetota; Actinomycetes; Bifidobacteriales; Bifidobacteriaceae. The record is from RNAcentral.